GACUCCUUGCUUGAGGGGCAGAGUCCUCUUGCUCUAAGAAAAGAAAUUGGUUCUUCCUUUCAUCUACUUUUCCUGCCAGUGUUUAUUUGCUAGCCCAUAUGUUCCUGCACAGGGUCACUCCUAUUGUGAAAUAAAUGCUGAAUAAAUAAAA
Molecule: long non-coding RNA, 151 nt
Organism: Homo sapiens (human)
Lineage: Eukaryota; Metazoa; Chordata; Mammalia; Primates; Hominidae
Source: Ensembl